RNAcentral lists this ribosomal RNA (468 nucleotides) under uncultured bacterium. RNAcentral's name for it is "partial 16S ribosomal RNA". It matches the Rfam family "Bacterial small subunit ribosomal RNA", at positions 28 to 507 of the family's 1533-position model. The record is from RNAcentral.
GGCGAACGCUGGCGGCGUGCUUAACACAUGCAAGUCGAACGGAAAGGCCCUGCUUUUGUGGGGUGCUCGAGUGGCGAACGGGUGAGUAACACGUGAGUAACCUGCCCUUGACUUUGGGAUAACUUCAGGAAACUGGGGCUAAUACCGGAUAGGAGCUCCUGCUGCAUGGUGGGGGUUGGAAAGUUUCGGCGGUUGGGGAUGGACUCGCGGCUUAUCAGCUUGUUGGUGGGGUAGUGGCUUACCAAGGCUUUGACGGGUAGCCGGCCUGAGAGGGUGACCGGCCACAUUGGGACUGAGAUACGGCCCAGACUCCUACGGGAGGCAGCAGUGGGGAAUAUUGCGCAAUGGGCGGAAGCCUGAUGCAGCAACGCCGCGUGCGGGAUGACGGCCUUCGGGUUGUAAACCGCUUUCGCCUGUGACGAAGCGUGAGUGACGGUAAUGGGUAAAGAAGCACCGGCUAACUACGUG